GAUGAACGCUAGCGGCAGGCCUAACACAUGCAAGUCGAGGGGCAGCACAGGUAGCAAUACUGGGUGGCGACCGGCGGAUGGGUGCGUAACGCGUAUGCAACCUACCAUUGAUUGGGGCAUAGCCCGAAGAAAUUCGGAUUAAUACUCCAUAAUAUUCAUCAAAGGCAUCUUUUAUGAAUUAAAGCUUUUGCGAUCAAUGAUGGGCAUGCGUGACAUUAGUUAGUUGGUGAGGUAACGGCUCACCAAAACGAUGAUGUCUAGGGGUUCUGAGAGGAUUAUCCCCCACACUGGUACUGAGACACGGACCAGACUCCUACGGGAGGCAGCAGUGAGGAAUAUUGGUCAAUGGACGCAAGUCUGAACCAGCCAUGCCGCGUGCAGGAUGACGGCCCUAUGGGUUGUAAACUGCUUUUCCACGGGAAGAACCCUCGACGUGUCGGAGACUGACGGUACCGUGGAAUAAGCAUCGGCUAACUCCGUGCC
This 483-nucleotide ribosomal RNA is filed under the name uncultured bacterium. RNAcentral's name for it is "bacterial SSU rRNA". It matches the Rfam family "Bacterial small subunit ribosomal RNA", at positions 28 to 509 of the family's 1533-position model. The record is from RNAcentral.